CAGUCUGUUUUCCACAGUAUUGCACUGAGGUCAAGAAACCUUUGGUGCUAGACGGGGAAAACGCAGCAGCCUGGAUGCCCAGCGCUUCCCAAACACCAACAGGGUCUCGGAACUGAAACACAAAUCCCUAAUAAGCUUGCCACACUAUUAACCUGUUUCAUGCAACAAGGAAUUCACAGAUGGAGAUUGAGAGAGAUUUUUGCAUGGUCAUGAAGGCCUGCGAGCAGGAAAAUUGUUCCCUGGUUUCUCAGUUUCCCAUUUAGUGCCGGAAGACAAGGCUGCUCUGUUCGAAGACUGCAGCUGGGUGCUGCUGUGCUGUCCUUCCACUUGACAAGGAAACCAGCGGAGCUACAUCACUUUCCCGUCAUGCUGAAUUCCCUGCAACCUCAGCAAGCCGUCUGCGGCCAGUUCCUUUGUUUUGCUCGGUGGACUGAAUGAGUUACCACUGCGAGCUCUAGGCUUUCCUCUACUCACCCUCAGUACAAAAACAGAGGGCUUCUGCAUGAAAACAUCUCCCUUUUGACAGGUUUCUCAAGAUAUCAUCCGAGAUACGAGAGCUUUGGCCGGAGGCAAAGCAUUGCACAAGGGUUGCACGGUUGUACGUGAGCUGGGAAUGGUGCUGAGAAGAACGGCAACAUUCAUCCGCAAAAUGGAAGAAGUUCCACAGAAAAAGACUCCUGGCUUACAGAGGUUUUGUCCAGCCCACUGCCUGCCUUCUUCCAAGUCGCAUCUCAGAACCAGUGCUCCUUCAUUUUCCUCAGCCUGGUCUAGGGAGGUAGACUAAAUUUCUUAAUGGUUGGGACGUACACGUGUAUAGGGAAGGGAGAAAGAAGGAAACAUCCACAUUCAGCCUGUGGAGCCUGCUCCCAGGACCAGUCACCAUGCCGCUGGGUGCAGCCACAACCUCCUGAAGUGAGUCUGAACGAGACACCUGAAUACCCCAAGGUCCUGGCCUGGUGUGAUUUGUUGAAGGUCAUAGAGGGAGUCUGUGGUAAGGAACUGCGGCCUGGUUAGGUAUGAAUUUUAACCGCUGGGACAAUUUUCAGCUGACUGUCACACUCUACAAUUGUUUAGCUUAUAAGAUGGAGAAAAUCCACAGCAAGAGGCUGAUGGUCUGGAGAACCACUUCAGUAGCCCUUUUAAUUUUUCUUCUGCUCAUAUAACUGUAAGUGGUAUCAAUAAAUGAAGAAUCCUUUGUAAAGGCUGCUAACCUACCUGCUUUAAAAAGCUCUGAAAUACUGAGAUGAAUAACUGACACUUGGGGAAAGGGAGGGAGAGUGAUCUUAUUUUGCUUUGUAAAUCAGAGUAAAUGUAGACCUUAUUGAAGAGUAGCUAAUGGAGAACAUCAAUCUGUUGUUUUUAGUCACUUCUUAGGCUGUCAUUGACAUUUCGAAGCUCCUACGUAACACUGUUGAUUAUAACAACUACUAAUUAAAUCUGGAUUUUUUUUCGGAAAGCCAUCAGCCUUUUUUUUUAAAUGCAUUCAAGAGCUCAUCACUCCGUAAAGAUGUUUUAUUCUUCCCAAGCAUACGCGGACACAAGCAGAAAUAUCCUGAGUUCUCUGGAGAAGAGGUGGCCAUACUCAUCUAUCACCUGCAACCCAGAAAGAGAGAAGCCUGCCUUCUGCGCUGUUUGAAGCAAGGACAGAAUGGGUCCCUGAGAGACUACCAAAUGUAGUUGUAAGCUACAGCUGUAAGAGUUUAUGGUUCUGCAGCCUGAAUAACCAUCAUCACAACAUGAGACAGGACUGGGAAUGAGAGAGCUGGCAGAGGAAGAAGAGGGCAGGUGUCGUCCUUGUUUGGGGGUAAAAAUGGGAUCCCAAUCCUCCCCUGCCAGCCCCUUCACUGCUUUUCUGCUCAACGGGUUUUAAACGUUGAACACGUAUUUGAUGUAGUUGUUAGGGCUGAGAAAUAAGCAAAAGGGGUUGAACAAGCACGCCCGUCCUGUGACUUAUUAGCUUAAUUCACCUAGAAGUUUUUACAGCAAAAUUCCUUAGGUUUUCAUUUUGAAUAAAGGUAACUCAGAUGAGAUCUUUACCCUUGGGCUGCAGAUUACAAUUCAGGCUGCCAGCAUGUACGGAACAUAAGAACUGAUUACUCCUUCUGCCUGGACAGUUAAGACUAAUGUGCAAGGCAAGAGCUGAAGUGCCAUCCCAAAGCAAGGCUAGGAGCUGCAAUAGUUCCUUCCCCUUGAGUUCUUAACCCACAGGGUAGAUGCCCAGCUAGUCUCUUGGUCAAGGUCAUGGUGAUCUCAGACGAGAUGUCUGAUGGGCCACCUGUUUCUUCUGCUGCGAUUGUAAAAGACUCUACCAAAUGACAGAGGUGUAAAACGCAUAUAUAUGAGAGGAAAAGUUAGGAGGUAAGUGUGCAAAACAAAAAGGAAGUGUUCUGGCUCACCUUGGAAAUGGGUACAGGGAUAUCAUUGUGACCAAGGGGCUGAACAAAUGAGUUGCUUCCCUGGCUCUUACAGCUGAUUUUCCUAAUGCAUUUGAAAAUAAUUCUCUUUGACCUGUGGUGCACAGUUCUCACAGGACUGACACAGAACUCAGUGCUGCCCCCAGAUCUUCUUCAUCACCUUUUGCUUCCUUUGCUGCUGUAUUCAGAAAUUAGUUUGGAAGUUACCUGAGCAGGAAUCCCAGGCCCAGAAGCAUCCAGCAUGCUUUCUGAGCCCCUUGACGCUUAAGUAAAAUACCCAAUAUCCUCGACUUGACUUGAACCUGCUGUUAUCAAGAAACAACCCUGCUUAUGGUAAUAUAAAGGUGAAGAGAUGAACUGAGCGUAAUGAAUGAAAUCUCGCUCUCAGUUUCAUCUGUGUGACCUCAUUUGCCUCACUGAAAAAGCAUAAAUGUACCUUAGCAUCAAACUUGUCUCACUGUGAGGAAAGAAGAGGAGCAGGAAUGCUAAAGGCCAUUGUGGGUUAAUGAAGUCCUGGAGAGAAGGGUGAUGGAUGGCUAUUCACUCUAUAGCUUGCUGUGCUGACAGAAGGCUACAAUAGUUUUUUUAAGCUAGUCUACACCUCCUCCUUCAAUACGCGUGACAUGAUAGGGGUGUUAGCCAUACUCUGAUACCUUACACACUGAACCCUUGAAGGAAUUUAGUCAAAGGAACAUCUUUGUUUUCAGUUCUUGAUUUGACUUGAGCUUGAUCUCUGCAUAAAGACCUUAUCUGAUUUUUCAUGGAUGCUUCCUUCCAACUUUCUAGGAGGCAUCCAUGAAAAACCCGGUAGCAGGCAUCAACCUCCCUUGUUUUGAAUGCCCUGUUGGACUUUUGUGACAUGUCACAAAAAUGUGGCAGACAUCACUACAUGCAGCUAUGUUCCACGUGUGGAAGUGAUCACACGCUACCUUGCCAUUACGUCUCAGCUUUCAGAUCACUUUUUCAUUUUAAAAGCAGUUCUGAGUGAAGAACUUAGUGCCUACUAAUAGUCACAUUUAUUAAUCGUCAGUCACAUUCCUGUACUUUGAAAUCCUUUGUCUACUGAGACAAAGGCAGUACAAGUCAAAUGUCCACAACGGCUCUGUCAAUUGCUUUUUCCCUGGAGCUAGACGGACACCCUUCGGAAAUCAGAAAAUAGUUUAUUUCCAGGCCCUUUGGAUUCUUGGUCUGUUUACUGAAAUCAUAAGGAGCCCACCUACUGGGUUUUAUAAUAAUGUAGCUACAUUUUGUCUUGUUUACAAUGUCUCUACUAAAAUUUAUCAUCUGCCAUUUGUACUGCAUCACAGCAAAAAGGUAGAAAUUAGGAAAUCAUACAAGAAAGUAAGAGAAAAGGAAAAUAUAAUCAAAGAUCCCAAUCCACUGCCAACUAAAAUCAGUAAGCAUUUUCUCUUGAUACAGUAUCAUAGAAUCAUAGACCAGUUUGGGUUGGAAGGGACCUUUAAAGAUCAUGCGGUCCAACCACUCUGCAAUGAGCAGGGGCAUCACCCACUAGAUCAUGUUGCUCAAAGCCCCAUCCGACCUGACCUGGAACAUUUCGAGGGAUGGCGCAGCCACAACGUCUGUGGGCAACCUGUUCCAAUGUUUUGCUACCCUCAUCAUAAAAAAUUUAUUCCUUAUGUCCAAUCUAAACCUACCCUCUUUCAGUGUAAAACGUUGUCCCCUGUCCUGUCACUACAGGCCUUGGGAAAAAGUGGGCCCUGUCCUCAAGCCUGUCAGAGUCCCUCUGGAUGGCAUCCCUUCGGUCAAGUGUAUGAACGUCACCACUCUUGGUGUCAUCCGCAGACUUGCUGAGAGUGCAAUCGAUCCCACUGUCUAUGUCACUGACGAAGAUAUUAAAUAGUAUUGGUCCCAGUACAGACUCUUGAGGAACACCACUGAUUACUGGUUUCCACUUGGACAUUGAGCCACUGACUUUAACUCUUUGGAUGCAGCCAUCCAGCCAGUUCCUUAUCCAUCUAACAGACCAUUCCUCAGACGCAUUUAUCUCCAAGUUAGUGGUACUUUUUAAAUUUGGUAUUUCUUCCCAAUUCAGAUAUGCUUCUGAAUGAAUAAUGAAAAGUCUUUAUAGCUUUCAGAUAGCAGGAGCUUCAAACCAAAACUGUAAUUUUUUCUU
Molecule: long non-coding RNA, 4548 nt
Organism: Chroicocephalus ridibundus (black-headed gull)
Lineage: Eukaryota; Metazoa; Chordata; Aves; Charadriiformes; Laridae
Exons: 4
Source: RefSeq, a predicted model, not a curated record